AGCAGCCGCGGUAAUUCCAGCUCCAAUAGCGUAUAUUAAAGUUGUUGCAGUUAAAAAGCUCGUAGUUGAAUUUCGGAAUCAAUUUGUUGGUCGUGCCUCGGUACGUACUGGUAUUAUUGGUUUCUACCUUCUGAAGAACCUUGAUGUCAUUAAUUUGGUGUCUUGGGGAAUCAGGACUGUUACUUUGAAAAAAUUAGAGUGUUUAAAGCAAGCAUACGCUUGAAUACAUUAGCAUGGAAUAAUGAAAUAGGACGUUUGAUUCUAUUUUGUUGGUUUCUAGGAUCGACGUAAUGAUUAAUAGGGAUAGUUGGGGGCAUUAGUAUUCAAUUGUCAGAGGUGAAAUUCUUGGAUUUAUUGAAGACUAACUACUGCGAAAGCAUUUUGCCAAGGAUGUUUUCAUUAAUCAAGAACGAAAGUUAGGGGAUCGAAGACGAUCAGAUACCGUCGUAG
Molecule: ribosomal RNA, 450 nt
Filed under: uncultured Glomeromycotina
Lineage: Eukaryota; Fungi; Glomeromycota
Description: SSU rRNA
Rfam family: Eukaryotic small subunit ribosomal RNA
Source: RNAcentral